Non-coding RNA from Hemicordylus capensis (graceful crag lizard), 72 nucleotides. NCBI's taxonomy places the organism in Eukaryota, Metazoa, Chordata, Lepidosauria, Squamata, Cordylidae. The record is from the annotation of a RefSeq genome assembly.
GGGGCUGUAGCUCAGUGGUAGAGCAUCUGCCUAGUCUAUAGAAGGUCCCAGGUUCGAUUCCUGGCAUCUCUA